RNAcentral lists this ribosomal RNA (445 nucleotides) under uncultured bacterium. RNAcentral describes it as "partial 16S ribosomal RNA". It matches the Rfam family "Bacterial small subunit ribosomal RNA", at positions 354 to 796 of the family's 1533-position model. The record is from RNAcentral.
GUGAGGAAUAUUGGUCAAUGGGCGCAAGCCUGAACCAGCCAUGCCGCGUGCAGGAAGACGGUCCUAUGGAUUGUAAACUGCUUUUAUUUGGGAAUAAACUCCGGUACGUGUACCGGCCUGAAGGUACCAAAUGAAUAAGCACCGGCUAACUCCGUGCCAGCAGCCGCGGUAAUACGGAGGGUGCAAGCGUUAUCCGGAAUCAUUGGGUUUAAAGGGUCCGCAGGCGGUCUUAUAAGACAGUGGUGAAAGCCUACAGCUCAACUGUAGAACUGCCAUUGAUACUGUAGGACUUGAAUUCGAUCGAAGUGGGCGGAAUGUGACAUGUAGCGGUGAAAUGCUUAGAUAUGUCACAGAACACCGAUAGCGAAGGCAGCUCACUAGGUCUGGAUUGACGCUCAGGGACGAAAGCGUGGGGAGCAAACAGGAUUAGAAACCCUUGUAGUCC